This 520-nucleotide ribosomal RNA is filed under the name uncultured bacterium. Its description in RNAcentral is "bacterial SSU rRNA". It matches the Rfam family "Bacterial small subunit ribosomal RNA", at positions 355 to 867 of the family's 1533-position model. The record is from RNAcentral.
UGGGGAAUCUUGCGCAAUGGGCGAAAGCCUGACGCAGCGACGCCGCGUGAGGGAAGAAGGCCUUCGGGUUGUAAACCUCUUUCAGGAGGGACGAAGCUACUCGGGUGAAUAGCCCAGAGGGUGACGGUACCUCCAGAAGAAGCCCCGGCUAACUACGUGCCAGCAGCCGCGGUAAUACGUAGGUGGCGAGCGUUGUCCGGAUUUACUGGGCGUAAAGAGCGCGCAGGCGGUCGUACAAGUCGCGUGUGAAGGCCCCCGGCUCAACUGGGGAGGGUCACGCGAUACUGUUCGACUCGAAGGCAGGAGAGGGAAGUGGAAUUCCCGGUGUAGUGGUGAAAUGCGUAGAUAUCGGGAGGAACACCAGUGGCGAAGGCGACUUCCUGGCCUGUUCUUGACGCUGAGGCGCGAAAGCUAGGGUAGCAAACGGGAUUAGACUACCCCGGUAGUCCUAGCCGUAAACGAUGGACACUAGGUGUUGGUGGUAUCAACCCCGCAGUGCCGAAGCAAACGCAUUAAGUCG